Molecule: long non-coding RNA, 1151 nt
Filed under: Mus pahari (shrew mouse)
Lineage: Eukaryota; Metazoa; Chordata; Mammalia; Rodentia; Muridae
Description: lncRNA (MGP_PahariEiJ_G0006425.1)
Source: RNAcentral
AAAAAUGUAAUUUAAUUUAAAAAAGUAACGAGUUUUCUUUAUUGGUUUGGCUGACUACCAUGAGUUAAUGACAAAUGACCGAGCACAUCUGAAGUAAAUUCUCACAGAUAAAAAUGAAUACUCUUUAGAAAAGUGUGCUCCAGAUGCUCCGACUCACAUAUUACCUUUUCGGACCCCUAAACUAAGCAAGAAGAGCUCACGUGAAGCUCUGCUCUAAGCUUCCACACUGGGCAUUUUACUCAAGUGAAAUGGUAUUUGGAGAUUAGUUCUUUCAUCUGUUUUUUUGCAAGAUUAUGUCUAGAUACUAAAUCCCAUGUAUUCUUUUCCUUGAGACAGAUCUUGCUAUGUAGCCAGGUUAACCUCAAGUUCACCAUUUUACUGUUCCAGUUUCCAGACUUCUGGAAGUAUAGGUGUACACCACCGCCUGGCAUUUUGUGUGUGCCGUGCAUGUGGAGCUCAGAGCUCAAUUUCAGGUGCUUACUUCCAACUGUCUUCACUCCCCCCACCCUUUGACACAGGGUCUCUUACUAAAUUUGGAGCUAGACUCGCUAGACUGGCUGGCUAUCCAGACAUUGGAACUCUCUUAUCUUAUCUCUGCCUCCCAGUGUAGGGGUUAGGGCAUACACUGUCUAUCUACCAUUUUAUGUGGGCUCUAGGGAUCUGAACUCAAGUCAUCUUGUUAGUGGCAGCAACCGCUUUGCUUACUAAGCCAUAUCCUCAGCCCCCUCCAAUGUAUUUCUUUCUUUUAUAAAAAGAUUUAAGAAUGUAUAUGAGUGCAAUGUAGAUGUCUUCAGUCACACAUUCAUGUGCAUUUACAUCCACAUAAACAAAAAUACUCAUAAAAAUCUUUAAAAAAAAAUUCCCAUUUUGAAGUAAUUUUGUAAUUCACUUAUUUUUCACUAGCUGAUUUAUAGAGUUAUCAAUAAAUGGUCAAUCAGCACUGAAACUCUUGGGAAUUCAUUUGAAUGUUUUUAUGCUUUGGAACUUGCUAGAAGCUGAGACGGUGCACACAGAUAUUUAUAAUCUCUCCUUCACGAAACCUGGCGAGCACGGCAUGUGUGCAAGUUUCAAUAAUGGAGGAUAAUUUCUCACCGCACAUUCAUAAAAUCCAGUUAUAUUGAAAUCUGAAGUGAAGUAUUUAUAGGACAUAU